CCUGCCCAUAAGUGGGGAAUAACAGUUGGAAACGACUGCUAAUACCGCAUAAGCUGAGCAAUCAGUAAAGGAGGCUUAACAGCUUCCGCUUAUGGAUGGGCCCGCGUCUGAUUAGCUAGUUGGUGGGAUAAAAGCCUACCAAGGCCACGAUCAGUAGCCGGCCUGAGAGGGUGGACGGCCACACUGGGACUGAGACACGGCCCAGACUCCUACGGGAGGCAGCAGUGGGGAAUAUUGCACAAUGGAGGGAACUCUGAUGCAGCAACGCCGCGUGAAGGAUGAAGGUUUUCGGAUCGUAAACUUCUAUCAGUAGGGAUGAAAACAAUGACAGUACCUAACUAAGAAGCCCCGGCUAACUACGUGCCAGCAGCCGCGGUAAUACGUAGGGGGCAAGCGUUAUCCGGAUUUACUGGGUGUAAAGGGUGCGUAGGUGGCAUGGUAAGUUAGAUGUGAAAGCCCAAGGCUUAACUUUGGGAUUGCAUCUAAAACUACUAAGCUAGAGUGCAAGAGAGGAAAGUAGAAUUCCUAGUGUAGCGGUGAAAUGCGUAAAUAUUAGGAAGAAUACCAGUAGCGAAGGCGGCUUUCUG
Molecule: ribosomal RNA, 587 nt
Filed under: uncultured bacterium
Lineage: Bacteria
Description: bacterial SSU rRNA
Rfam family: Bacterial small subunit ribosomal RNA
Source: RNAcentral